UAGAAAGUGGUGUAGUGGGAGCACCUAGAGUUUUGAUCUCUUGAGCAUGGGUUCGAGCCCCUUCUUUCUAA
This 71-nucleotide transfer RNA is filed under the name Narcetes shonanmaruae. Its description in RNAcentral is "Alepocephalidae sp. MK-2017 tRNA-Gln". It matches the Rfam family "tRNA". Rfam says of the family: Transfer RNA (tRNA) molecules are approximately 80 nucleotides in length. Their secondary structure includes four short double-helical elements and three loops (D, anti-codon, and T loops). Lineage: Eukaryota; Metazoa; Chordata; Actinopteri; Alepocephaliformes; Alepocephalidae. The record is from RNAcentral.